UGGGGAAUAUUGGACAAUGGGGGGAACCCUGAUCCAGCCAUGCCGCGUGUGUGAAGAAGGCCUUAUGGUUGUAAAGCACUUUAAGCGAGGAGGAGGGUACUGGUAUUAAUACUACCAGCUACUGGACGUUACUCGCAGAAUAAGCACCGGCUAACUCUGUGCCAGCAGCCGCGGUAAUACAGAGGGUGCGAGCGUUAAUCGGAUUUACUGGGCGUAAAGCGUGCGUAGGCGGCUAAUUGAGUCGGAUGUGAAAUCCCCGAGCUUAACUUGGGAAUUGCAUUCGAUACUGGUUAGCUAGAGUGUGGGAGAGGAUGGUAGAAUUCCAGGUGUAGCGGUGAAAUGCGUAGAGAUCUGGAGGAAUACCGAUGGCGAAGGCAGCCAUCUGACCUAACACUGACGCUGAGGUACGAAAGCAUGGGGAGCAAACAGG
RNAcentral lists this ribosomal RNA (430 nucleotides) under Pseudomonadota bacterium. Its description in RNAcentral is "Proteobacteria bacterium partial 16S ribosomal RNA". It matches the Rfam family "Bacterial small subunit ribosomal RNA", at positions 355 to 776 of the family's 1533-position model. The record is from RNAcentral. Lineage: Bacteria; Pseudomonadati; Pseudomonadota.